RNAcentral lists this ribosomal RNA (497 nucleotides) under uncultured bacterium. RNAcentral describes it as "partial 16S ribosomal RNA". It matches the Rfam family "Bacterial small subunit ribosomal RNA", at positions 28 to 507 of the family's 1533-position model. The record is from RNAcentral.
GAUGAACGCUGGCGGCGUGCCUAAUACAUGCAAGUCGAGCGAACGGACGAGAAGCUUGCUUCUCUGAUGUUAGCGGCGGACGGGUGAGUAACACGUGGAUAACCUACCUAUAAGACUGGGAUAACUUCGGGAAACCGGAGCUAAUACCGGCUGAUAUUUUGAACCGCAUGGUUCAAAAGUGAAAGACGGUCUUGCUGUCACUUAUAGAUGGAUCCGCGCUGCAUUAGCUAGUUGGUAAGGUAACGGCUUACCAAGGCAACGAUGCAUAGCCGACCUGAGAGGGUGAUCGGCCACACUGGAACUGAGACACGGUCCAGACUCCUACGGGAGGCAGCAGUAGGGAAUCUUGCGCAAUGGGCGCAAGCCUGACGGAGCAACGCCGCGUGAGUGAAGAAGGUCUUCGGAUCGUAAAACUCUGUUAUUAGGGAAGAACAUAUGUGUAAGUAACUGUGGACAUCUUGACGGUACCUAAUCAGAAAGCCACGGCUAACUUCGUG